GAUGAACGCUAGCGGCGUGCCUAAUACAUGCAAGUCGAGCGAACAGACGAGGAGCUUGCUCCUCUGACGUUAGCGGCGGACGGGUGAGUAACACGUGGAUAACCUACCUAUAAGACUGGGAUAACUUCGGGAAACCGGAGCUAAUACCGGAUAAUAUAUUGAACCGCAUGGUUCAAUAGCGAAAGACGGUUUUGCUGUCACUUAUAGAUGGAUCCGCGCCGCAUUAGCUAGUUGGUAAGGUAACGGCUUACCAAGGCAACGAUGCGUAGCCGACCUGAGAGGGUGAUCGGCCACACUGGAACUGAGACACGGUCCAGACUCCUACGGGAGGCAGCAGUAGGGAAUCUUCCGCAAUGGGCGAAAGCCUGACGGAGCAACGCCGCGUGAGUGAUGAAGGUCUUCGGAUCGUAAAACUCUGUUAUUAGGGAAGAGCAAAUGUGUAAGUAACUAUGCACGUCUUGACGGUACCUAAUCAGAAAGCCACGGCUAACUACGUG
Molecule: ribosomal RNA, 497 nt
Filed under: uncultured bacterium
Lineage: Bacteria
Description: partial 16S ribosomal RNA
Rfam family: Bacterial small subunit ribosomal RNA
Source: RNAcentral